Meleagris gallopavo (turkey) is the source of this 394-nucleotide non-coding RNA. Lineage: Eukaryota; Metazoa; Chordata; Aves; Galliformes; Phasianidae. The record is from RefSeq and is a predicted model, not a curated record.
CAUUCUUCAGCUGUUGAACCAACUGCAUGCUACAAGUUUUUUCAACUCCCCUAGUUUGCUCUGAAAUGCUGUCACAUCGCUUGCAGGCACUGAUCUAUGAGUGACACUGAUGGACAGCUGAAUUCCAAAGAAACAAAAUGUGACAAGGAGGAGGAAGAGCAAGGUCUUGGACAAAGAGAGAGACAUGAAGAGGGUGAAGAAUUGUUUGUUUGUCAGCAGAGAUCUGAGUUUUUAAAACAAGGAGUGUUGAAAUGGCAGUGCUGUUUCGAUAGGAAGACAAGUCACCUUCUAUCAUUAUAUCACUGAUGAAGAUGACAGAAUGGGAAAUGGCUGGAAUCAGAGGUCUUCGUGAGUACAUCCUGAAAAUUCCAAGGGAGAAGAUCCACAUUUAAUU